UAAAUUAACAUCUCGGUAUCUACGUUCAAGU
This 31-nucleotide non-coding RNA is filed under the name Rattus norvegicus (Norway rat). The record is from RNAcentral. Lineage: Eukaryota; Metazoa; Chordata; Mammalia; Rodentia; Muridae.